This is a non-coding RNA of Gossypium hirsutum (cotton), 105 nucleotides long. NCBI's taxonomy places the organism in Eukaryota, Viridiplantae, Streptophyta, Magnoliopsida, Malvales, Malvaceae. The record is from Rfam.
AUGCCAUGAUUAGGGCAUUUUCAUAAUAACUCCUUAAAUCACUCCCAUGCCUUAUAUAAAGAUUCUUCGUCAAGUUGCUGAUAUGAAAUGAUUAAUUAUGAUCUU